RNAcentral lists this ribosomal RNA (425 nucleotides) under uncultured bacterium. RNAcentral describes it as "partial 16S ribosomal RNA". It matches the Rfam family "Bacterial small subunit ribosomal RNA", at positions 354 to 796 of the family's 1533-position model. The record is from RNAcentral.
GUUAGGAAUAUUGGACAAUGGGCGAAAGCCUGAUCCAGCCAUGCCGCGUGAACGAUGAAGGCCUUCGGGUUGUAAAGUUCUUUAGCCGAUGAUUAUAAUGACUGUAGUCGGAAAAUAAGCCCCGGCUAACUUCGUGCCAGCAGCCGCGGUAAUACGAAGGGGGCGAGCGUUAUUCGGAAUCACUGGGCGUAAAGCGUGCGUAGGCGGUUUUGUAAGUUAGGAGUGAAAGCCCAGGGCUCAACCUUGGAAUUGCUCUUAAUACUGCAAGGCUCGAAUCUCGGAGAGGAUAGCGGAAUUUCCAGUGUAGCAGUGAAAUGCGUAGAUAUUGGAAGGAACACCAGUGGCGUAAGCGGCUAUCUGGACGAGUAUUGACGCUGAGGCACGAAAGCGUGGGGAUCAAACAGGAUUAGAAACCCGAGUAGUCC